Molecule: long non-coding RNA, 1901 nt
Filed under: Manihot esculenta (cassava)
Lineage: Eukaryota; Viridiplantae; Streptophyta; Magnoliopsida; Malpighiales; Euphorbiaceae
Description: long non-coding RNA (MESC_LNC003324)
Source: RNAcentral
CACUAUAUUCACCAUAUACAUAAACAUUAAUCCCUCUGUGGGAUUUCAUCAAAGCCUCAAUGGGCAAUAUAUAUCCUGUGUUGAGUUGGUUCACAUAUACAUCAUAAAAUAAGAUCAUGUACAUACCAAGGGAUUAACAUAUACUAUGGUCAAGCACAACUCUAUCCUCAAUAACAUAAUUACAUAAACAUAACUGUUCAAAACUUUACAUUACAUUCUUAUCAUUUGUCAUGUCCACAUACUCUAGCUAUUACAUACAUAUGACUUUUCUCUUCUUUUCUUCUCUAUCAAACCCGUACCUGCAAACCUGGGGGUUAGGGGAGAGGGGUGAGCUAAAAGCCCAGUGAGCAGAAAUUAAAAACAUUAUAUUAAAGUUCAUGCUUUCAUGAAAUGCAUCAUAUCACAGACAAUCCACAUCAAGGGUGAACCUGUCACCAAUUAGUCCCAACAUAGUCUCGUGCCAGGCCGUAGCAUGGGGUCCUGGUCUUCCUGUCAUACAUACAUAAAGUCUCGUNNNNNNNNNNNNNNNNNNNNNNNNNNNNNNNNNNNNNNNNNNNNNNNNNNNNNNNNGCCAGGCCGUAGCAUGGGGUCCUGGUCUUCCUGUCAUAUCAUAUAUAUAAUCCCUCGUGCCAGGCCGUAGCAUGGGGUCCUGGUCUUCCUGUCAUAACAUACAUAUAUAAACCCUCGUGCCAGGCCGUAGCAUGGGGUCCUGGUCUUCCUGUUAUAUCAUAUGGACUAAUUGGAUCAUACAGCAUUCACCCACAACCACAGAGUAAAAUGCAAUGCGACAUAUUCGUGAACUAAUGCAAUCAGCCUAUUACAUGUCAUCAUGAUGCAUGAAACAUGCUCAAAACAUUUAAUUGCUUGAUUUUAAAACAUUAAGCUUGUUUCCACUCACCUCGGGUUAGCUCUGACCAGACACUGAAGCAGCUCACUCACUGCUGGGGUCCUCGGUUCCUCGGGUCCGAACCUACACAGGUGGACUCCAAUGAGGGACCAAACAUAUAUAAACACAACUCUAAUAUAUCCCCAAAAACCCCCUAAAACAUCAUGAAAACAUCAUAGAAAAUAUGCAUGAAACGGCUGAACAGGGCACCUUCGGCGGCACCUUCGGCGGCCGAAAGUCCUGGACAGAGACGAAACUCAGCUAGGUUCGGCGGCACCUUCGGCGGCCGAAAGUGCCAGACAGAGACGAAAGUCUCUUUUCGGGGGCACCUUCGGCAGCCGAAAGCUGCCUUCACAAGAGGGGUUCGGCGGCCGAAACUCCCUUCGGCUGCCGAACCUGGUUUCUGCCAAACGGCAGAAACUUGGUUCAAAUGAACCUCCUGCCUCCCAAAACCAUAGAUCAUGCAUAUUUCUCAACCAAAACACACAUACAAGUUCCUAGGGGUCUCAAACAUGCAUAUACCCCAUCUACAACACUUCAUUCACACACAAUCAAGCUACAUUGCUCAAAACAUCAUCAAAACCCAUAACCUCAACAUAUGUCCUAACAUGCAUUUCUACCCAUAGAUCUUACUUAAAACUUGUUUAAAACAUAAAAAGGGUUCAAGAUCGACCCUUACCUCUUGAAGAAACGAGAGGAAAGCGAUCCUAGCUUGGAGAUGGAGAGAUUAAGCUCUUUGAACCUCCAAGCACUCAAAACUUGCUCAAAGCUCACAAAUCUUCAAAACAAAGUUAUAAACUUGUUAAAACCACGAAAGAUCUAGAGGAAACGCUCAAGAUCGAGGGAGGAACGGUGGAGACUCACCUUGGCCGACAAUGGGAGAGAAAAAGCUCGCCCGUGCGGACCAAGGGGACCCUUUUAUAGUGGCUGGCCAGGCCACGUUCGGGGGCCGAAUGUGCCUCCGCAUCCAUGCAAUGUUCGGCGGCCGAACAUAAGGUUCGGCGGCCGAACCUGC